This is a small nucleolar RNA of Vitis riparia (riverbank grape), 212 nucleotides long. RefSeq annotates it as small nucleolar RNA U3. The transcript has a single exon. The record is from RefSeq and is a predicted model, not a curated record. Lineage: Eukaryota; Viridiplantae; Streptophyta; Magnoliopsida; Vitales; Vitaceae.
ACGACCUUACUUGAACAGGAUCUGUUCUAUAGGUUGUACCUCUGUAUCCUUGAGUUCUAAGGAGACAGGAACUUCAGUCUGGUGGAUGAACAAGAACCGUAUGAUCUGAGCGUGAUUGACAGUUUGAUGAUCUUUAGGUCAGCAAACGGUAGAGGAUCGUUCCAGGUCAGGUCCUCCCUGGCUUGGGUGAUCAUGCGGUUGUCUGACAGACU